GUGGCGUUGCGGGAUGCUGCGGGCGCUGCCGCUGCUGCUGCUGGUGUCGGUGCUGGCGGCAGGGCUCGGCCCAGGACCCCCCCGGCACCGCGGGGCUGAGCUGCGGGACCUGGCCCGGGGCAAGGUGGAGACCUGCGGCGGGUGACGGCUGAACCGCCUGAGGGAGGUGAAGGCGUUCGUCACCCAGGACAUUCCCCUCUACCAUAACCUAGAGAUGAAGCAUCUGCCUGGUGCUGACCCUGAGCUUGUGCUCCUCAGCCACCGAUACGAGGAGCUGGAGGUGAGUGGGCAGCAUGGCACCUGCUGCCGCAGCAGGGUCUGGGUGGCUGGUGCCCCACAGGCACCGGGCUGCAACCCCUGCCUGUGUGCAGAGAAUCCCCCUAAGCGACAUGACCCGGGAGGAGAUCAAUCAGCUGGUGCAGGAGCUGGGUUUCUACCGCAAGGAGACGCCUGAUGCCCCUGUGCCCGAGGAGUUCCAGUUUGCACCUGCCAGGCCUCUGCCCCCACUGCCACCUCCCCAAACUCCCACUGCUGAUGGCCACACCCCAGCCAAACACAACGAGGGAGAACACCCAGACCUCUAAUGAGGGGUGCUGCAGCCAGGAGAAGGUCCUGCAGCCAGUCCCUGGUGUGCAGGGAUAAGGACAUCACAGCAGCUGGGGAUGGUGCUGCGGAGUGGCAGAGGUGCUCCUGUUGUUGCUUGGUGCUGUGUAGCCUCUGUCCCAAGGAUGCCCUGAGCUGCCCCAGCCUUUAUCAGGGGUUUCAUGGGCAUUGUGGCCCUCUCAGGGGUGUGCAACAAGCACACAGGACUUGUUGCACACACCUUCCCCUGCAGCCCAGCAUUCCCAGACGGUCAGAUGUUCUUUGUGCUCCCUCUCAGUGCCCUGAGAUUUAGCUGACGCCUGGCGUUGGGCAGCGAUAUCCUACCUGCGUGGGACAGGAUGAAACCCUCAGCAGAAAGCCUCACGUGCUGAGGGUUGAUGUGUUGAGUCCUGGAGGUGGGAAAGCUGCCCCCAGAGGGGUUAUGGCUUUAUGCCCCAGCAGGAUUGUCUCAUAUCAAGCCCCCAGUAAAGCCCUUGCAUACUAUC
This 1088-nucleotide long non-coding RNA is filed under the name Strigops habroptila (Kakapo). RNAcentral's name for it is "lncRNA (ENSSHBG00005006559.1)". Lineage: Eukaryota; Metazoa; Chordata; Aves; Psittaciformes; Psittacidae. The record is from RNAcentral.